CUAACAAGGAUUCCCCUAGUAACGGCGAGUGAAGCGGGAUGAGCUCAAAUUUGAAAUCUGGCUGGUUUACUAGUCCGAGUUGUAAUUUAAAGAAGCGUUUUCGGUGGCAGCCUGGGUAUAAAUCCUUUGGAAUAGGGUAUCAUAGAGGGUGAGAAUCCCGUCUUUGACUAGUGCAUGCUACUAUGUGAUACGUUUUCAAAGAGUCGAGUUGUUUGGGAAUGCAGCUCAAAAUGGGUGGUAAAUUUCAUCUAAAGCUAAAUAUUGGCGAGAGACCGAUAGCGAACAAGUACCGUGAGGGAAAGAUGAAAAGAACUUUGAAAAGAGAGUUAAACAGUGCGUGAAAUUGUUGAAAGGGAAACGUUUGACACCAGUCAUGUGGGUGGAAAAUCAGUCUUUUGCAUUGGGGAGUUGUAAAGGUUCGGACCGCAAGGCCGGCUUUUGCUUCAUCUUUGGUGUAAGGGAUGCACUUUUUCAUCUACAGGUCAACAUCAGUUUCUUUUGCUGGACAAAACUCCGAGAGAAGGUAGCAGCUUAGGCUGUGUUAUAGCUCUGGAGCGAUACAGUGAAGGGGACUGAGGUUUUCGCAGCGUGUGCUCUCGGGCAAGGCUGGAUGGGUGCUAUGGGAUCGUUCGGGGUACAAUGCCUGGCAUUUUGCUUCGUGUCUUUUCUAUACUCGCUCAACUCAGCUCUUCCACGCUUAGGAUGUUGACUUAAUGGUUUUAAACGACCCGUCUUGAAACACGGACCAAGGAGUCUAACAUAUAUGCAAGUGUUUGGGUGGCAAACCCAUGCGCGUAAUGAAAGUGAACGUAGGUGCGAUCCGCAAGGUGCAGCAUCGACCGAUCUUGAUAUUUUUGGAUAGAUUUGAGUAAGAGCAUAUAUGCUGGGACCCGAAAGAUGGUGAACUAUGCCUGAAUAGGGUGAAGCCAGAGGAAACUCUGGUGGAGGCUCGUAGCGAUUCUGACGUGCAAAUCGAUCGUCAAAUUUGGGUAUAGGGGCGAAAGACUAAUCGAACCAUCAGAGCCC
This 1026-nucleotide ribosomal RNA is filed under the name Podila humilis. RNAcentral describes it as "partial large subunit ribosomal RNA". It matches the Rfam family "Eukaryotic large subunit ribosomal RNA", at positions 65 to 951 of the family's 3401-position model. The record is from RNAcentral. Lineage: Eukaryota; Fungi; Mortierellomycota; Mortierellomycetes; Mortierellales; Mortierellaceae.